CCGAGUUUACAACUCCCAAACCCCUGUGAACAUACCUAUCGUUGCUUCGGCGGAUCCGCCCCGGCGCCCUCGGGCCCGGAUCAGGCGCCCGCCGGAGACCCAAAACUCUCGUAUUUCUUUAGUAUCUUCUGAGUAAACAAGCAAAUAAAUUA
RNAcentral lists this unclassified non-coding RNA (152 nucleotides) under soil metagenome. RNAcentral describes it as "partial internal transcribed spacer 1". The record is from RNAcentral.